GGGCGAAUAGCUCAGCUGGUUAGAGCCCCUGCCUUACAAGCAGGGGGUCCCAGGUUCGAAUCCUGUUUCGCCCACCA
This 77-nucleotide transfer RNA is filed under the name bacterium. RNAcentral's name for it is "tRNA-Val". It matches the Rfam family "tRNA". Rfam says of the family: Transfer RNA (tRNA) molecules are approximately 80 nucleotides in length. Their secondary structure includes four short double-helical elements and three loops (D, anti-codon, and T loops). Further hydrogen bonds mediate the characteristic L-shaped molecular structure. tRNAs have two regions of fundamental functional importance: the anti-codon, which is responsible for specific mRNA codon recognition, and the 3' end, to which the tRNAs corresponding amino acid is attached (by aminoacyl-tRNA synthetases). tRNAs cope with the degeneracy of the genetic code in two manners: having more than one tRNA (with a specific anti-codon) for a particular amino acid; and 'wobble' base-pairing, i.e. permitting non-standard base-pairing at the 3rd anti-codon position. The record is from RNAcentral.